RNAcentral lists this long non-coding RNA (977 nucleotides) under Homo sapiens (human). RNAcentral's name for it is "HSALNT0140361". The record is from RNAcentral. Lineage: Eukaryota; Metazoa; Chordata; Mammalia; Primates; Hominidae.
CUUCCUUACCUCCGUUGUGGAGUAGUAGACUGAUUUCAUCUUCACAGUCCUGGUCAAUCACCCCAGAUAACACUGUAACUCCUUUCUUAGCCUGUUGCCUUAAAGGUAAGAGGAGCCCAAAGUUUCCAGGUGGCAAUCUUAACUUCCAGCUUAACAGAAUCAUUGUUGUGUCUCCUGGUGGCAGCAUUCUCCUUCUGGAACUAAGAACUCUAGGCCAGCAGAAUGUAAUGUCAUGGAAACAGGAAGCAAAAAUUUUGCUAGUAGAUCACUGGGGAUGAUGGUGAGUGGUGUCACUUCCACUUCCAUCCCUUUAAUCCUGGAGCCGUGAGUCCUGGCUAUGGGAGAAACAGUGCCAUAUAUGGGAUGCUGAUUCAGAGCAUACACAGUCUUCUGGAGAACUUUACCCCAGGUCUGCAAAGUAUUGUUACCUAGUUGGCAUUGUAAUUGUGACUUCAAAAGGCCGUUCCAUCAUUUUAUCAAUUCAGCUGCUUCAGGAUGACAGAUAACAUGCAGACUACCUGGUCAUGUGGCCACGUUCUCAUGGUGAUGUCAGAGGGAAGAGUGCCAGCAGAAGUACUCUGCUUAGAUCACAUCUUCUAUCAUCCCCUUGUCCAAAGAUUUCUACAACAAUCCCUUUCUUGGCUUUCCUGCUUUCCUUGAUUUGGAAAGGACUCCAGCUUAUGAAAGAAAACGCAAAGAAAGAAGAGACCAUUCCACUGAUUUUGGGAACAAGACAAUAUAAUGAUCACAUCUAUGCUUUACAAAGAAAACUCUGCAUCUAUAUGAAGAAUAAAUGAUGGAGCUAGGCUGGAGAAGUACACUACUUGAAGUCAACAAGAAAGCAGCUGGUGAAAGAUGAUGAGACACUUAUUAGAGGAAGAAGCAGUGAGGAUGGAAGGGAGAGAAAUAUACACUAGAGGCACUGGAAAGUGCAUCACCCACCUUAUUGAGUCAUCAGAUAUGAUAUUCUGAAUUUC